AACUUUUUCAUGAAUCAAUUUUGAGCAUUAUGUUUACAACGUAGUUAUUAUAGCACGAAUUAUGAGUCUAAAAUGCCAAAUACUUGCAACUAUUAUGUUAAUCACUGAAAUCUUAGUGUACUAAUUGCUCGCUAUAAGCUAGGUUAUUGCGCCCCUAAACCAACGUACUGACAACGCUACCUCCCCGGAACUCAAACUUUAACCGGGCAUGACUUGGUACAUCCAGUGACCCAGCAAAAAGUAGCCUCGGUACAGCCAGAAGUAGCAACAAAUCGCAAAAGGGGAUCCUUGUCUGACUGGUGGCUGGACCACAUGACACUUGUUGGAAAAGGAAGGACCAAAGGUGCCAUCGUCGAGGGCCCAGAUAGAUGAAGAGAUUGAAGCCUGGGCUGCACACAAUCCUGUUAGUAACAAAAAAAGAAGGAAAAAAUGCUGUCCCAUUUGUCCAUAUGCCCAGCGCCAGAACCCAUUUAUACAUCUGGGUAGUGAGAAAAUCUAGGAAGAAGUCGCCACCCACUGAUGAUCUCAUCAAAGUUUACCAAAGACUCCAAGCAGUGUAGGAGAGGAAUGGUGGCCUGUUCGAACAGGCAUGGACUGAAUCGCCAGCUCUCAUCUCCCUAGUCACUCCGAUGGCCACGUGUCGCUCCUCGAUCAACAGCGAUUUCAAUGAAUGAUGCGUUGAUGUGGGCAAAAAGUUAAUCCUUUCUCGCCUUUGAACUCUGGUGUUCGUCAUAUCAAUCCAUUUUGAUUGUCGAGCAACUUGUGGGCACACCUCAACUUGUUAGUGGGAAGUAAUUUGCAAUAGAGUGACUUACUUUUAUGUAUUUUUUCACUUCACAUCAUUGUUAUUUUGAAAAAUCCUGCCAAAAUUCUGUUGACUGUUUGUUGUCGACAAGAGUCUAUGUUUCAUGAAUAACAAGGCUGUGUUCUGUACAUUGUA
Lineus longissimus is the source of this 940-nucleotide long non-coding RNA. RefSeq lists it as uncharacterized. The record is from RefSeq and is a predicted model, not a curated record. The transcript is spliced from 4 exons. NCBI's taxonomy places the organism in Eukaryota, Metazoa, Nemertea, Pilidiophora, Heteronemertea, Lineidae.